RNAcentral lists this ribosomal RNA (401 nucleotides) under uncultured bacterium. RNAcentral describes it as "bacterial SSU rRNA". It matches the Rfam family "Bacterial small subunit ribosomal RNA", at positions 356 to 774 of the family's 1533-position model. The record is from RNAcentral.
CGGGAAUUUUGGGCAAUGGGCGAAAGCCCGACCCAGCAACGCCGCGUGAGGGAUGAAGUAUUUCGGUAUGUAAACCUCGAAAGAAUGGGAAGAAUAAAUGACGGUACCAUUUAUAAGCUCCGGCUAACUACGUGCCAGCAGCCGCGGUAAUACGUAGGGAGCAAGCGUUGUUCGGAUUUACUGGGCGUAAAGGGCGCGUAGGCGGCGCGGUAAGUCACUUGUGAAAUCUCUGAGCUUAACUCAGAACGGCCAAGUGAUACUGCUGUGCUAGAGUGCGGAAGAGGCAACCGGAAUUCUUGGUGUAGCGGUGAAAUGCGUAGAUAUCAAGAGGAACACCUGAGGCGAAGGCGGGUUGCUGGCCCGACACUGACGCUGAUGCGCGAAAGCCAGGGGAGCAAACG